CAGUCGCCGCGGUAAUACGGAGGGUGCAAGCGUUAAUCGGAAUUACUGGGCGUAAAGCGCACGCAGGCGGUUUGUUAAGUCAGAUGUGAAAUCCCCGAGCUUAACUUGGGAACUGCAUUUGAAACUGGCAAGCUAGAGUCUUGUAGAUGGGGGUAGAAUUCCAGGUGUAGCGGUGAAAUGCGUAGAGAUCUGGAGGAAUACCGGUGGCGAAGGCGGCCCCCUGGACAAAGACUGACGCUCAGGUGCGAAAGCGUGGGGAGCAAACAGGAUUAGAUACCCCUGUAGUCCCUGUCUCUUAUAA
Molecule: ribosomal RNA, 301 nt
Filed under: uncultured bacterium
Lineage: Bacteria
Description: partial 16S ribosomal RNA
Rfam family: Bacterial small subunit ribosomal RNA
Source: RNAcentral